CGUGUAGGCGGUUGGGUAAGUCAGAUGUGAAAGCCUUCUGCUUAACAGAAGAAGUGCAUUUGAAACUGCUCGGCUAGAGUACGGGAGAGGAGAGUGGAAUUCCCGGUGUAGAGGUGAAAUUCGUAGAUAUCGGGAGGGACACCAGUGGCGAAGGCGGCUCUCUGGUCCGAUACUGACGCUGAGACGCGAAAGCGUGGGGAGCAAACAGGAUUAGAUACCCUGGUAGUCCACGCCGUAAACGAUGGGCACUAGGUGUAGGAGGUAUUGACCCCUUCUGUGCCGAAGCUAACGCAUUAAGUGCCCCGCCUGGGGAGUACGGCCGCAAGGCUAAA
Molecule: ribosomal RNA, 332 nt
Filed under: uncultured bacterium
Lineage: Bacteria
Description: bacterial SSU rRNA
Rfam family: Bacterial small subunit ribosomal RNA
Source: RNAcentral